GCAAGAAUACAGAAAUUUACUCAUAGGUAUCAGGUAUGGUAUUACCAAGUUCUUUCUAUUGAAAGUCUCAUUGCAAGUGAAAGUUUUUACUGACGACAAUGUAAAAAAAAGUACUUCUUAAAUGUCACCUAAUGCCUAACCAACAGGACUAGAAAACGAGAGAGCAUACCCGAAUAGCAGAAAACUUAUAAGGAUGUGACGUACCAGACGACUCGCGGGUUUUGCUUUGAAAACCAUGACUCCACGUAACACAAA
Molecule: long non-coding RNA, 255 nt
Organism: Daphnia pulicaria
Lineage: Eukaryota; Metazoa; Arthropoda; Branchiopoda; Diplostraca; Daphniidae
Exons: 2
Source: RefSeq, a predicted model, not a curated record